Molecule: non-coding RNA, 28 nt
Filed under: Mus musculus (house mouse)
Lineage: Eukaryota; Metazoa; Chordata; Mammalia; Rodentia; Muridae
Source: RNAcentral
UAGGGCCUCACCUCUCUUAAACUUUCUC